UACGUAGGGUGCAAGCGUUAAUCGGAAUUACUGGGCGUAAAGGGAGCGUAGGCGGUUUUGUAAGUCUGACGUGAAAUCCCCGGGCUCAACCUGGGAAUUGCGUUGGAGACUGCAAGGCUAGAAUCUGGCAGAGGGGGGUAGAAUUCCACGUGUAGCAGUGAAAUGCGUAGAGAUGUGGAGGAACACCGAUGGCGAAGGCAGCCCCCUGGGUCAAGAUUGACGCUCAUGCACGAAAGCGUGGGGAGCAAACAGG
This 253-nucleotide ribosomal RNA is filed under the name uncultured bacterium. RNAcentral describes it as "partial 16S ribosomal RNA". It matches the Rfam family "Bacterial small subunit ribosomal RNA", at positions 524 to 776 of the family's 1533-position model. The record is from RNAcentral.